UUCAUUCAGAGCUCCGUUGCUCAGACCAUCACACCUCUCUGUCCUCUCUCUGCUUUCUUCAUCUCCAGGUCUCCCAUCUGUCCCUGUCUCUACCAUCCUCAUCCUCACUCUGUCUUUCUUUGUCUCUCCAUGGGAGUCAUGUCCUCCCCCAGGUUCCUGUCACUUCAUCUGCUUGGAGCCUUGCUGCUGCUGCUGCUGCCUGGUUCUUGGGCUCAGCAUUAUGAUGAUUUCACAUCAUCUCCAGAUUACGACUCUGACUACAACUCCACCUUUGAAUACAGCUUCUUCAGUAAUACGAGCAGCGAGGACCUGGACAGACUUGUGGAACGCUUCCUUGAUCCUGACGAAACUACGGAGGGCACUGGAGGACCAGAGGAGGAAGUGACUGUAACCAUGGUGAAUACAAGAAGAACAACCGAGGGGGUCAACGCUCGUAGCACUGCACCAUUUCCUGUAUGUUUGGAAAUCAGGACACUGCUCUGGACUCUGAUGAUCCUGUUGGUCCUGCAGCAGCUGCAACACAUACUCUGGUGAUAGGUGUCGAAUCAAGCCCCUCAGCUCCGUCCUCACUGAACAUGGCUGCUCAUGAGCACUGCAUUGGAGUAGGUGGACCAAUCACAGAGCUUGUUUCUGAACUCUUGAACCCAAAUGAACUUUCUCACCUUUGUGUGGAAUCAUUUCAGAGAGAGAAAGUUUGCAGACACACACCUGGAAGAUUUCACUACAUGGUGACAUUUUUAUUAUGUGUAAAGAUGUUUUUUUAAUGGAACUGCUGAUUAAGCCAUACUUUAGAAAUGGUGUUUAUAUUUGUAAUAAAAAGACGUUUUUAAAGAAAAUAUGAAGUUAUUUUGUGUCCUUAUUGUGCAAACAAACAACAUAAGUGUUUGUAGUUGAGUGCAAACAAUCACUGUGUUACAGAAUAAACAUGGGGUCAGCGGGGGCCUGGAGCAUAUCCCUGCUUUCAUUUUUCCUCCAAAUCAUAAAUGUUGUUGGCUGAACUGUGAAACGUCAGCUGAAAGAUUUCUAUUACAACAGAACCAUCACUGUGCAAAUGUUUGCAUGUGUUCAUAUUCAGGAUCCAGCCAGUGGAUUUGGUUUAAUCACAGAUUUAUUUUAUUUGUGAUACAUUUUUGAUUGUGCUGUUUAUAGUUUUUCUCUAAAUCCUGUUUGUUUGCAUAAAAAAGACACAAAAGUGACAGAAUAAAAACACAAUUGUAUGAAUGAACAUUUUUGCAGAUACAUUUAUAUAUAAACAUAUUAAAGACAAAGUAUUUAAAGUGGACCCCAGCAUCCUCCAUGGUUACGAUCAUCGGUUUGUCAGCCACGUGUUUGAUUGUUUAUUUGGAUGUUUGAUCUUCCUGUUGAAAAAAACUAAACUGCAGUCCCGUCAAAAACAUGCAGG
This is a long non-coding RNA of Oreochromis aureus, 1402 nucleotides long. The record is from Ensembl. Lineage: Eukaryota; Metazoa; Chordata; Actinopteri; Cichliformes; Cichlidae.